UACGUAGGGUGCAGGCGUUAAUCGGAAUUACUGGGCGUAAAGCGUGCGCAGGCGGUCUUUUAAGUCAGAUGUGAAAUCCCCCGGCUUAACCUGGGAACUGCGUCUGAUACUGGAAGGCUUGAGUAUGGGAGAGGGAUGUAGAAUUCCAGGUGUAGCGGUGAAAUGCGUAGAUAUCUGGAGGAAUACCGGUGGCGAAGGCGGCAUCCUGGACCAUUACUGACGCUGAGGCGCGAAAGCUAGGGGAGCAAACGGG
Molecule: ribosomal RNA, 253 nt
Filed under: uncultured bacterium
Lineage: Bacteria
Description: partial 16S ribosomal RNA
Rfam family: Bacterial small subunit ribosomal RNA
Source: RNAcentral